This 2160-nucleotide ribosomal RNA is filed under the name Salmonella enterica subsp. enterica serovar Mississippi. RNAcentral's name for it is "partial 23S ribosomal RNA". It matches the Rfam family "Bacterial large subunit ribosomal RNA", at positions 1 to 2102 of the family's 2925-position model. Lineage: Bacteria; Pseudomonadati; Pseudomonadota; Gammaproteobacteria; Enterobacterales; Enterobacteriaceae. The record is from RNAcentral.
GUUAAGCGACUAAGCGUACACGGUGGAUGCCCUGGCAGUCAGAGGCGAUGAAGGGCGUGCUAAUCUGCGAUAAGCGCCGGUAAGGUGAUAUGAACCGUUAUAACCGGCGAUACCCGAAUGGGGAAACCCAGUGUGAUUCGUCACACUAUCAUUAACUGAAUCCAUAGGUUAAUGAGGCGAACCGGGGGAACUGAAACAUCUAAGUACCCCGAGGAAAAGAAAUCAACCGAGAUUCCCCCAGUAGCGGCGAGCGAACGGGGAGGAGCCCAGAGCCUGAAUCAGCAUGUGUGUUAGUGGAAGCGUCUGGAAAGGCGCGCGAUACAGGGUGACAGCCCCGUACACAAAAGCGCAUGUGCUGUGAGCUCGAUGAGUAGGGCGGGACACGUGGUAUCCUGUCUGAAUAUGGGGGGACCAUCCUCCAAGGCUAAAUACUCCUGACUGACCGAUAGUGAACCAGUACCGUGAGGGAAAGGCGAAAAGAACCCCGGCGAGGGGAGUGAAAAAGAACCUGAAACCGUGUACGUACAAGCAGUGGGAGCACAGGUUUACCUGUGUGACUGCGUACCUUUUGUAUAAUGGGUCAGCGACUUAUAUUCUGUAGCAAGGUUAACCGUAUAGGGGAGCCGCAGGGAAACCGAGUCUUAAUUGGGCGUUAAGUUGCAGGGUAUAGACCCGAAACCCGGUGAUCUAGCCAUGGGCAGGUUGAAGGUUGGGUAACACUAACUGGAGGACCGAACCGACUAAUGUUGAAAAAUUAGCGGAUGACCUGUGGCUGGGGGUGAAAGGCCAAUCAAACCGGGAGAUAGCUGGUUCUCCCCGAAAGCUAUUUAGGUAGCGCCUCGUGAAUUCAUCUCCGGGGGUAGAGCACUGUUUCGGCUAGGGGGCCAUCCCGGCUUACCAACCCGAUGCAAACUGCGAAUACCGGAGAAUGUUAUCACGGGAGACACACGGCGGGUGCUAACGUCCGUCGUGAAGAGGGAAACAACCCAGACCGCCAGCUAAGGUCCCAAAGUCAUGGUUAAGUGGGAAACGAUGUGGGAAGGCCCAGACAGCCAGGAUGUUGGCUUAGAAGCAGCCAUCAUUUAAAGAAAGCGUAAUAGCUCACUGGUCGAGUCGGCCUGCGCGGAAGAUGUAACGGGGCUAAACCAUGCACCGAAGCUGCGGCAGCGAACGUAUCACUUAAAGCGAUUCAGCGGGUUACGAUUGACGGAGCGAAGCGACGUCAAAGCGUAUACAAAGUCGAGUCGGUUUAAGGAUACGUUCGUUGGGUAGGGGAGCGUUCUGUAAGCCUGUGAAGGUGGCCUGUGAGGGUUGCUGGAGGUAUCAGAAGUGCGAAUGCUGACAUAAGUAACGAUAAAGCGGGUGAAAAGCCCGCUCGCCGGAAGACCAAGGGUUCCUGUCCAACGUUAAUCGGGGCAGGGUGAGUCGACCCCUAAGGCGAGGCCGAAAGGCGUAGUCGAUGGGAAACGGGUUAAUAUUCCCGUACUUGGUGUUACUGCGAAGGGGGGACGGAGAAGGCUAUGUUGGCCGGGCGACGGUUGUCCCGGUUUAAGCGUGUAGGUGUGUGUUCCAGGUAAAUCCGGUUCACUUUAACACUGAGGCGUGACGACGAGGCACUACGGUGCUGAAGCAACAAAUGCCCUGCUUCCAGGAAAAGCCUCUAAGCAUCAGGUAACAUCAAAUCGUACCCCAAACCGACACAGGUGGUCAGGUAGAGAAUACCAAGGCGCUUGAGAGAACUCGGGUGAAGGAACUAGGCAAAAUGGUGCCGUAACUUCGGGAGAAGGCACGCUGACACGUAGGUGAAGUGAUUUACUCAUGGAGCUGAAGUCAGUCGAAGAUACCAGCUGGCUGCAACUGUUUAUUAAAAACACAGCACUGUGCAAACACGAAAGUGGACGUAUACGGUGUGACGCCUGCCCGGUGCCGGAAGGUUAAUUGAUGGGGUCAGCGCAAGCGAAGCUCCUGAUCGAAGCCCCGGUAAACGGCGGCCGUAACUAUAACGGUCCUAAGGUAGCGAAAUUCCUUGUCGGGUAAGUUCCGACCUGCACGAAUGGCGUAAUGAUGGCCAGGCUGUCUCCACCCGAGACUCAGUGAAAUUGAACUCGCUGUGAAGAUGCAGUGUACCCGCGGCAAGACGGAAAGACCCCGUGAACCUUU